Molecule: ribosomal RNA, 433 nt
Filed under: uncultured bacterium
Lineage: Bacteria
Description: partial 16S ribosomal RNA
Rfam family: Bacterial small subunit ribosomal RNA
Source: RNAcentral
AACGAACGCUGGCGGCAUGCCUAACACAUGCAAGUCGAACGAGACCUUCGGGUCUAGUGGCGCACGGGUGCGUAACGCGUGGGAACCUGCCCUUAGGUUCGGAAUAACUCCCCGAAAUGGGUGCUAAUACCGGAUAAUGUCUUCGGACCAAAGAUUUAUCGCCUUUGGAUGGGCCCGCGUUGGUUUAGCUAGUUGGUAGGGUAAAAGCCUACCACGGCGACGAUCCAUAGCUGGUCUGAGAGGAUGAUCAGCCACACUGGGACUGAGACACGGCCCAGACUCCUACGGGAGGCAGCAGUGGGGAAUAUUGGACAAUGGGCGAAAGCCUGAACCAGCAAUGCCGCGUGAGUGAUGAAGGCCUUAGGGUUGUAAAGCUCUUUUACACGGGAUGAUAAUGACAGUACCGGGAGAAUAAGCUCCGGCUAACUCCGUG